CCACCCCGGGGUUGCCACAGCUGGUCGGUGCACGGGGCUAAGGGCUGCCCCGGCUCCUCUGGCGCCCAAACCAAGAGCGAGAGCGCGGGCGGCCGGGCGCGAAGGCUGGGACCGGCAGGUUGCUGGGGCUGCGCUGCGCCUGCCCUCCGCCCGGGGCCCCGGCGCGAGAGGCAGCUGCGCGCUCCCUCCCGGAGCGCUGGAGACAGAUAUGCAAGAUGGCAGAGGAGGGGGAAAGCCAAUAGAAAAGGGAUAUUGCACCUACUUGUGGCCAGUUUCCUUGCCCUGCCUUUGGAUCUCAUGCUGUGCCCAGUCCUGCAGCCGCUGGAAAUUUUCUAUACAUCCACGGAGAAAACAAGAAGUGGGGCUUUUGAAACCUUUUUCCAUAUUAAAGAACUAGAAGGACAGGACUCUUAAAUGAUCCAGGAGAAAGUGAGAAUCAUCCUGAACUUCAGGAAAUCUGCUGCCGCCGCUCUUACUGCUACUGAAGCUAUUUCGGCUUGUGCUUUCGGAGUUGAAAGUAGAACAAGAUUUACCAAUGAAGUGGGCACAUAGAAAUGGGGAAAUCCUAAAGGGGCCAGCUGUGUUCAAGACGGCGAAGGGCAAGAGGAUGAGGCGUCGCUGGGACACCCUCCCCUUCUCGUUUUUAAAGUCCCUGGGGUCGCGGCCGCCUCAGCGAAUGCCUGGUCUUUCCAAGAGUUUCGGGACACGAGCAAAUCCAACCUCUUCCAACUGAAAUAAUAAACACAAACUCCUCUGUGCCCUAGGGCCAAAGCA
Felis catus (domestic cat) is the source of this 774-nucleotide long non-coding RNA. RefSeq lists it as uncharacterized. Lineage: Eukaryota; Metazoa; Chordata; Mammalia; Carnivora; Felidae. The transcript has 4 exons. The record is from RefSeq and is a predicted model, not a curated record.